This is an RNA transcript of Oncorhynchus nerka (sockeye salmon), 5816 nucleotides long. It is a transcript of the gene named transmembrane protein 74B, with no coding region annotated. NCBI's taxonomy places the organism in Eukaryota, Metazoa, Chordata, Actinopteri, Salmoniformes, Salmonidae. The transcript is spliced from 4 exons. The record is from RefSeq and is a predicted model, not a curated record.
AGUAUGGUUGACUAGGCUUAAUUCUGGCACAUAUCACACCCCAUAGUGCAGGUAAACGUUUUUAAUGUCAUUACUGUCAGCUCCACAACCAGCUGAAGCGAUGCGCUCCCUUUCAACCACCAAUUUCAUGGCACCGUUUGUUUGCGCAUGGCCAGUUGCUCUCUAGGUCUUUCCGUCCCCCUCGAAACAACCGGAAUCUUUGCACUACAACAUUUUAUCACUGGAGCGUCAACGCUUGGGGGUAUUUGGCAAAAUAAGGAAGGGUGGCCAAAUCAUGACCUGAGCAGAUCGACUGAAUUUCGAUGGAGUCUUUGAAUGCCGUAGAGCUCUGUGAAUUGGGGGAUGGCGACAAGCCCGCUGCCUGCGAGGUCACUACAACUCCGCGAAAAGCUACCCAGUCAAGACCUCGGAUAGUAGCUAGCACUGGAAUCGAGAACACGUCAUAUCAGGACGAGGAGCACGAGACGAGGUUCAGUCCCCAGGGAGCAGACAGCUCGAGUGUUCAUCUGUCCACGUCUAAUGACAGGGGCUAUCAGUCACAACCCAGGCCUUUCCAGCGAGAUGAGCUGUCACACCGCUCUGAGGCGGGACAUGAGACUGACUUUAAAAACCAUUCACUCGACUAUGGGUUCCUAUUUGCCAUGGUGUUCUUGGUGAGUGGAAUUGUACUGGUGGUCAUUGCCUACACCAUUCCCCGAGAGGCUAAGGUCAACCCAGACCUGGUGUCAGCUCGUCAGAUGGAGAAACUGGAGAUGUACUACACACAACUGGGCUCGCACCUCGACAAGUGUAUCAUAGCAGGCCUGGGACUGUUGACUCUAGGGGGAAUGCUCUUGUCCAUCUUGCUAAUGGUGUCCAUAUGCAAAGGUGAGCUGUACCACCGGAGGACAUUUUUCCAACCCAGGAAAACAUACGGGUCGAUUCACCUCCGGAUGAGACAGUUGGGCGAGGGGGAAGAAUCUCUGUUUGAAUGUGAACUUAGUCACACUGGCAACACAGCUCUAGCCACUAGCCCUACAGAUGGAACACAGAAAGUAAGAGUCCUGCUACGUGGAACAUCUUCGAUCCUCUGAACUGUCCUCAGGCAACUCUAUCAGAGUUCAACGAUACAUCCACCCUCUCAACAUACAACACAGGAGGCAGAUUGCUCCUGAGGCUCAAGAGAUUCAUACAACUAUACUGAAAAGAUGGCAGAACCUACAUACCAGACCUUACUUCGUCUCCAUAUUAGAGGUCGACCGAUUAUGAUUUUUCAACGCCGAUACCAAUACUGAUUACUGGAGGACGAAAAAAAGUCGAUACCGAUUAAUCGGCCGAUUUUUAAAAUAAAUAAAAAGUAUUUAUUUGUAAUAAUGACAAUUACAACAAUACUGAUUGAACACUUAUUUUAAUAUAAUACAUCAAUAAAAAUCAAUUUAGCCUCAAAUAAAUAAUGAACCAUGUUAAAUUUGGUUUAAAUAAUGCAAAAACGAAGUGUUGGAGAAGAAAGUAAAAGUGCAAUUAUUGCCAUGUAAAAAAAGCUAACGUUUAAGUUCCUUGCUCAGAACAUGUGAAAGUUGGUGGUUCCUUUUAACAUGAGACUUCAAUAUUCCAAGGUAAGAGGUUUUAGGUUGUAUAGUAUUUAUAGGACUAUUUCUCUCUAUACCAUUUGUAUUUCAUUAACCUUUGACUAUUGGAUGUUCUUAUAGGCACUUUAGUAUUGCCAGUGUAACAGUAUAGCUUUCGUCCCUCUCCUCCACCCUACCUGGGCUUGAAGCUCCACAAAAGCCGUGGCCCUUGCAGAGCAAGGGGAACAAUCACUCCAAGUCUCAGAGCGAGUGACGUUUGAAACGCUAUUAGCGCGCACCCCACUAACUAGCUAGCCAUUUCUCAUCGGUUACACCAGCCUAAUCUCGGGAGUUGAUAGGCUUGAAGUCAUAAACAGCGCUGUGCUUGAGAAGAGCUGCUGGCAAAAUGCACGAAAGUGCUGUUUGAAUGAAUGCUUACAAGCCUGCUGCUGCCUACCAUUGCUCAGUCAGACUGCUCUAUCAAAUAUCAAAUCAUAGACUUAAUUAUAACAUAAUAACACACAGAAAUACGAGCCUUUGGUCAUUAAUAUGGUCAAAUCCGGAAACUAUCAUUUCGAAAACAAAACGUUUAUUAUUUCAGUGAAAUACAUAACCUUUCUGUAUUUUAUCUAAUGGAUGGCAUCCAUAAGUCUAAAUAUUGUUGUUCCAUUGUACAACCUUCAAUGUUAUGUCAUAAUUAUGUGAAAUUCUGGCAAAUUAGUUCGCAAUGAGCCAGGCUGCCCAAACUGUUGCAUAUAUCCUGACUCUGCGUGCAAUGAAUUGCAGAGAAGUGACACAAUUUCACCUGGUUAAUAUGGCCUGCUAACCUGGAUUUCUUUUAGCUAAAUAUGCAGGUUCAAAAAUAUAUACUUCUGUGUAUUGAUUUUAAGAAAGGCAUUGGUGUUUAUAGUUAGGUACAGUCUCAACGAUUGUGCUUUUUUCGCAAAUGAACUUUUGUUAAAUCAUCCCCCUAAUUAUAUGCAACGCAGGACAUGCAAGAUAAACUAGUAAUAUCAUCAACCAUGUGUAGUUAACUAGUGAUUAUGAUUGAUUGUUUUUUAUAAGAUAAGUUUAAUGCUAGCUAGCAACUUACCUUGGCUUCUACUGCAUUCGCGUAACAGGCAGGCUCCUCGUGGAGUGCAAUGAGAGGCAGGUGGUUAGAGCGUUGGACUAGUUAACCGUAUGGUUGCAAGAUUGAAUCCCGGAGCUGUCAAGGUAAAUAUCUGUCAUUCUGCCCCUGAACAAGGCAGUUAACCCACCGUUCCUAGGCCGUCAUUGAAAAUAAGAAUGUGUUCUUAACUGACUUGCCUAGUAUAAUAAAGGUGUAUUUUCUAAUUGAUUUUUUAUUUAAAAAAAGAAACUCAGCCAAUUCAGUGUCCAAAAAUACCGAUUUCCGAUUGUUAUGAAGCGGCCAUUCCGAUUAAUCUUCGACCUCUACUCCAUAUAUCAACGCAUAUGGUGAGGAAGAUGACCCUCUCCUCCCGUCCACAGUCGGUGGAUGUCCUGAAGAUCAUCAUGUAAAACAAAUUGAAUUUGGACUAUGACUUCACUCUUCAAUACGAAGAUCCUGACUUUGAUGGACAAUUGUGCUGUCUAGUGGACAUUGAGGAGUUUCCUGAGGAAGCUGUCCUGAAGAUAAUUGGAUCAGAAAGUGAUGCCAACUCAACUGAAUCUGGAGAAACAGAUAUACUGCCCCACGCCAGAUAGUCUCCAGAGUGCCUAGAGAAGUGGCCUGACGGUUUUCCGGGUGCCAUAUUUUUCUUAUGAUAUUGAGCACAUGCUCAAUAGUUGCUAUGAGAACUGGAAAGACUCUUAAAUUAACAAGAGCCCAGAAGCAUGACAUUCUUGAGAACAUAGCUAAAGCAAUACACAGCUUCAAGACCUAUCCAAGUGUGGGAGAAAUAGGCAAGGCUACCAAAGCGCUUGUUACCAAGCACCCAUGUCUCAAAGGAGCAGGGAGUCGGUCUGGAUGGUAUGCAUGGAUGACUGGUCUGAAGUUCAAGAUGGGGAACUAUCGGACCAAGUUGAGCAGAGCUGGAGUUCCUGAGUUUUAUCUCAAUGCAGGCAAGAGGAGCAGAAACAACCUAGAGAGAGAGUCACCCCACUCAAACAUCAAGAGACCCAGACGAGUUGAGGUAAACGUCCUGCCAUGCUUGAGAGACCCAGAGUCUCUCAAGCAGCUGAGACCGCAAAUCAUCAACCAAGUUUCAAAGACUGAGUGAAACCUGCCAUUAAUAGACAAGCUGAUGCAGACAAAUUUUGCCCUUUGACGAAAUGAGAUCGUAAAUGAUGGACCGCCAGUGAAAUGGUUCCCGAGGGAACUGGCCAGCCCUUCCCAUGGAGUCUCAGGUAAAACAGCUUUUAUCCCUCUCUCUUUCUCUUAUUUUGUCUCUGUCUCCCUCUUGCUCCCUUUAACCUUUGUAAGAUCUUUCUUUCAGUCGACAUUGUGUUCAAUGGGGCUUUUGUUUGUGGUUUGUUGAUGCAUGUGUGUGCAGAGUUCCACCGCAUAACAAACAUCAUUUUGAAGGGCCCGAUUCUAUGCCAAGCUUACAUUUAUGUAUGUUUCAGGUGGCGGAAACUGAAGAGCCAGACAUUAGACACACCUGUCGCUCUCCUCAUUGUUUUCAGUGAGAACUGAACUGAUCAUGUCCUUUUCAACCCAGCCAGGAUUGCUGUUGUGCUAGAAGGUGACAUUAUAAUGAAUGAUCUCCCCAGGUUGGCUGAUGCAAUUAUGUUGUUAUUUCUUGCAUCUGAGUUAUCCCAAGCAGCUGAUCCAUACUUCUGACUUCAUACAAAAAAGUUCUAGGCUGAUGGGAAAAUGCUUAAACCCAAGCUUGUGUCUCUGAAAAAUGACCUAUUGGCGCAAGACUAAUGAUGUAUGGGUCUGUGUGCGUAUUGGCCUUUAGAGGUAUUUACCAUCAGUGAGGUUGUAGAUGCUGCAAGGCUUUUCUCGUAGAUAUGUCUUUAUUGUGUGGGUCCACAUUGUCCCAUCAUUGCCUUGUUAAUCGCAGUAUAGGCUCACACAGCCACUGUUUCCAAUCAAAAACCAUACAUUCUUUCAGAGUUAUAAAUGUUUUCCUUUCAUUGUCAUUGAUGUUUGACAUAAACCACGUCCACAAAUGUUUUAGCUGUUCUGCUCUUCAGUAGAACUCAAUAGAAACGGAGAUAUAUCUUUUUGUACUGCCGCAGUCAAUCAACCCGUGAACAAUGUGGAGGGCUUGAUGAGAUAAGCGAGAGUUGAGAUUUGAUUUCCACUCCAAAUAAAGUUGUAACGUACAUUAUGUUCUGAAUGUAAUGGAAGUUAGCAAGAGUUAAUAUGCACUAAAAUAAAGCUGGAACAUAUUUUCUAAAAUGUAUGUAUUGCAAUGGUUCUAACAGUUAAUGGUUUUUGAUCAUGGCUGCAGCUUUAAUGUGUUGUUCCUCAUUUUCCCGUUUUUGUCUAAUCGUUGCAGCCUCAUGCGGACAAUGUUUCCAAUAGAGAAUUCUGUGACACUAUUUGGAUAGUCCAUCUGUAGAUAGUUAAUUGAGCAUUCAAAGACCAUCAACAAAUGUUAAAUUGUAUAUCAAACUAACCCGAACAUAUCAGCAGUUAUACAGUUGACAUUUUCUUAGUUUAUUGAUAGUUUGAGCAUGUACAGUACAGGGGACUAUCCAAAUGGAGUUACAGAAAAUUCGAAGUUCUCUAGAAGUUCAAAAUAUUUUAACCAGGUUUCUAUCCAACCCUUUCAUGCUAGAGCGCACAUAAAGCCUACAUGAUGAGAUUGGACAAAGAAGCGAGAUACUUAUUUUAUUUGUGAAACUGCAACCAAGCAUCGAUGACCAUGUCACCAGAAUAAGACCCUUGAUAUUUAUUGGAGAGGAGCACCUUGCACUUUCACCACCCUGUGAAGUUGAUAACAACUUAUUUCACCUGUCGUCUAAUAAACUGCAUGCUUUCCCGACAAGUCGUAGUGGGAGGACCACACGUCAUUGUGUAACUCCAAGUUUACUUCAAUAUAAUGGUUAUUAUCUAAAAAUGUCCUCAUAAAAGCGUUUCCACUCGCAUAAAAAGGUUAGAUGGAAACUUGGUUAGUGUCACAUUUGGUUAUUGUGUUGGAGGCAGGCGUUUUGUUCAGUUGAAUACACAGGCAUAGGAAUAUUAAAGUUUGCGUUGUCAAGAACAUUUUAAAUUGUUUACUUUAUUUGAUUCCUAAUUUUAUUUUGUACCGUAUAUUUAUAGCAAUCUAUGAUUGUUUUUUUAAAUAUUAUUCUAGCCUUUAUAAUAAAGAU